RNAcentral lists this ribosomal RNA (1401 nucleotides) under Massilia oculi. Its description in RNAcentral is "bacterial SSU rRNA". It matches the Rfam family "Bacterial small subunit ribosomal RNA". The record is from RNAcentral. Lineage: Bacteria; Pseudomonadati; Pseudomonadota; Betaproteobacteria; Burkholderiales; Oxalobacteraceae.
GCAGUCGAACGGUAACAGGGAGCUUGCUCCGCUGACGAGUGGCGAACGGGUGUGUAAUAUAUCGGAACGUACCCAGAAGUGGGGGAUAACGUAGCGAAAGUUACGCUAAUACCGCAUACGAUCCACGGAUGAAAGUAGGGGACCUUCGGGCCUUAUGCUUUUGGAGCGGCCGAUAUCUGAUUAGCUAGUUGGUGAGGUAAAGGCUCACCAAGGCGACGAUCAGUAGCUGGUCUGAGAGGACGACCAGCCACACUGGAACUGAGACACGGUCCAGACUCCUACGGGAGGCAGCAGUGGGGAAUUUUGGACAAUGGGCGCAAGCCUGAUCCAGCAAUGCCGCGUGAGUGAAGAAGGCCUUCGGGUUGUAAAGCUCUUUUGUCAGGGAAGAAACGGCUGUGGCUAAUAUCCACGGCUAAUGACGGUACCUGAAGAAUAAGCACCGGCUAACUACGUGCCAGCAGCCGCGGUAAUACGUAGGGUGCAAGCGUUAAUCGGAAUUACUGGGCGUAAAGCGUGCGCAGGCGGUUUUGUAAGUCUGACGUGAAAUCCCCGGGCUCAACCUGGGAAUUGCGUUGGAGACUGCAAGGCUAGAAUCUGGCAGAGGGGGGUAGAAUUCCACGUGUAGCAGUGAAAUGCGUAGAGAUGUGGAGGAACACCGAUGGCGAAGGCAGCCCCCUGGGUCAAGAUUGACGCUCAUGCACGAAAGCGUGGGGAGCAAACAGGAUUAGAUACCCUGGUAGUCCACGCCCUAAACGAUGUCUACUAGUUGUCGGGUUUUAAUUAACUUGGUAACGCAGCUAACGCGUGAAGUAGACCGCCUGGGGAGUACGGUCGCAAGAUUAAAACUCAAAGGAAUUGACGGGGACCCGCACAAGCGGUGGAUGAUGUGGAUUAAUUCGAUGCAACGCGAAAAACCUUACCUACCCUUGACAUGUCAGGAAUGCCGAAGAGAUUUGGCAGUGCUCGAAAGAGAACCGUAACACAGGUGCUGCAUGGCUGUCGUCAGCUCGUGUCGUGAGAUGUUGGGUUAAGUCCCGCAACGAGCGCAACCCUUGUCAUUAGUUGCUACAUUCAGUUGAGCACUCUAAUGAGACUGCCGGUGACAAACCGGAGGAAGGUGGGGAUGACGUCAAGUCCUCAUGGCCCUUAUGGGUAGGGCUUCACACGUCAUACAAUGGUACAUACAGAGGGCCGCCAACCCGCGAGGGGGAGCUAAUCCCAGAAAGUGUAUCGUAGUCCGGAUCGUAGUCUGCAACUCGACUACGUGAAGUUGGAAUCGCUAGUAAUCGCGGAUCAGCAUGCCGCGGUGAAUACGUUCCCGGGUCUUGUACACACCGCCCGUCACACCAUGGGAGCGGGUUUUACCAGAAGUAGGUAGCUUAACCGCAAGGAGGGCGCUAC